UGAGGAAUAUUGGGCAAUGCCCGAAAGGGUGACCCAGCAACGCCGCGUGGAGGAUGAAGGUCGUAAGAUUGUAAACUCCUGUUAGAGGGGAAGAAUAACUAAGUUUGGAGCUUAGUAUGACUGUACCCUCAGAGAAAGCCCCGGCUAACUACGUGCCAGCAGCCGCGGUAAUACGUAGGGGGCAAGCGUUGUCCGGAUUUACUGGGUGUAAAGGGCGCGCAGGCGGAAUGGAAAGUCAGUGGUGAAAUCCUACAGCUUAACUGUAGAACUGCCUUGGAUACUGCAAGCCUAGAGUAUGGAAGAGAGUGAUGGAAUAUCUGGUGUAGCAGUGAAAUGCGUAGAUAUCAGAUAGAACACCAAUGGCGAAGGCAGUCACUUGGUCCAUUACUGACGCUAAAGCACGAAAGCGUGGGUAGCAAACA
RNAcentral lists this ribosomal RNA (422 nucleotides) under uncultured bacterium. RNAcentral's name for it is "bacterial SSU rRNA". It matches the Rfam family "Bacterial small subunit ribosomal RNA", at positions 355 to 774 of the family's 1533-position model. The record is from RNAcentral.